UACGUAGGGUGCAAGCGUUAAUCGGAAUUACUGGGCGUAAAGCGUGCGCAGGCGGUUAUGUAAGACAGUUGUGAAAUCCCCGGGCUCAACCUGGGAAUUGCAUCUGUGACUGCAUAGCUAGAGUACGGUAGAGGGGGAUGGAAUUCCGCGUGUAGCAGUGAAAUGCGUAGAUAUGCGGAGGAACACCGAUGGCGAAGGCAAUCCCCUGGACCUGUACUGACGCUCAUGCACGAAAGCGUGGGGAGCAAACGG
Molecule: ribosomal RNA, 252 nt
Filed under: uncultured bacterium
Lineage: Bacteria
Description: partial 16S ribosomal RNA
Rfam family: Bacterial small subunit ribosomal RNA
Source: RNAcentral